GACGAACGCUGGCGGCACGCUUAACACAUGCAAGUCGAACGAAGCAAUUUCACCGUAGCUUGCUACACCGAAAUUGCUUAGUGGCGGACGGGUGAGUAACACGUGAGCAAUCUGCCUUUUAGAGGGGGAUACCUGUUGGAAACGACAGUUAAUACCGCAUAAUAUAAUCGAACCGCAUGAUUUGAUUAUCAAAGAUUUAUCGCUAAAAGAUGAGCUCGCGUCUGAUUAGAUAGUUGGUGAGGUAACGGCUCACCAAGUCAACGAUCAGUAGCCGGACUGAGAGGUUGAACGGCCACAUUGGGACUGAGAUACGGCCCAGACUCCUACGGGAGGCAGCAGUGGGGAAUAUUGGGCAAUGGGCGCAAGCCUGACCCAGCAAUGCCGCGUGAAGGAAGAAGGCUUUCGGGUUGUAAACUUCUUUUGUCAGGGACGAGCAGAAGACGGUACCUGACGAAUAAGCCACGGCUAACUACGUGCCAGCAGCCGCGGU
RNAcentral lists this ribosomal RNA (490 nucleotides) under uncultured bacterium. Its description in RNAcentral is "bacterial SSU rRNA". It matches the Rfam family "Bacterial small subunit ribosomal RNA", at positions 28 to 521 of the family's 1533-position model. The record is from RNAcentral.